CCAAGGUAGUUACAAUUGAGAAGCUGAAGGCAUGCUCAGCUUCUAUUGGUCUUUCACACUGAAGACGGAAUUAAGAUCCUGCUUGAUUGAGCUAUGAUAUAUGUUGAGGCUCAUGUUCACAAGCAUUAUGCUUAAGAUGAAGACGUUGUUUGAAGAGUUUUUGAUCACAUCUCCAAGUGGGAGAUUUGUUAAGCAGUGGAGCCGUAUCCAACUCCAUCCUACUAAUCUUUCAUGCCACGUGUCGCCAUGCCAUUGAAAUC
This 260-nucleotide long non-coding RNA is filed under the name Phoenix dactylifera (date palm). Its description in RNAcentral is "long non-coding RNA (PDAC_LNC006801)". Lineage: Eukaryota; Viridiplantae; Streptophyta; Magnoliopsida; Arecales; Arecaceae. The record is from RNAcentral.